This 785-nucleotide ribosomal RNA is filed under the name uncultured bacterium. Its description in RNAcentral is "bacterial SSU rRNA". It matches the Rfam family "Bacterial small subunit ribosomal RNA", at positions 71 to 825 of the family's 1533-position model. The record is from RNAcentral.
UUCUUUAUCACCGAGUGCUUGCACUCACCGAUAAAGAGUUGAGUGGCGAACGGGUGAGUAACACGUGGGCAACCUGCCCAAAAGAGGGGGAUAACACUUGGAAACAGGUGCUAAUACCGCAUAACCAUAGUUACCGCAUGGUAACUAUGUAAAAGGUGGCUAUGCUACCGCUUUUGGAUGGGCCCGCGGCGCAUUAGCUAGUUGGUGGGGUAAAGGCUUACCAAGGCAAUGAUGCGUAGCCGAACUGAGAGGUUGAUCGGCCACAUUGGGACUGAGACACGGCCCAAACUCCUACGGGAGGCAGCAGUAGGGAAUCUUCCACAAUGGGCGAAAGCCUGAUGGAGCAACGCCGCGUGGGUGAAGAAGGUCUUCGGAUCGUAAAACCCUGUUGUUAGAGAAGAAAGUGCGUGAGAGUAACUGUUCACGUUUCGACGGUAUCUAACCAGAAAGCCACGGCUAACUACGUGCCAGCAGCCGCGGUAAUACGUAGGUGGCAAGCGUUAUCCGGAUUUAUUGGGCGUAAAGGGAACGCAGGCGGUCUUUUAAGUCUGAUGUGAAAGCCUUCGGCAUAACCGGAGUAGUGCAUUGGAAACUGGGAGACUUGAGUGCAGAAGAGGAGAGUGGAACUCCAUGUGUAGCGGUGAAAUGCGUAGAUAUAUGGAAGAACACCAGUGGCGAAAGCGGCUCUCUGGUCUGUAACUGACGCUGAGGUUCGAAAGCGUGGGUAGCAAACAGGAUUAGAUACCCUGGUAGUCCACGCCGUAAACGAUGAAUGCUAAGUGUUG